GUCCUUAAAUCUUAAACUCGUGCCCUUCCCCCUGGCGAUCUUUUUCUUCCCUCCCUCACUCCCGCGAGCCGCCGUCGACCUCCGACUGUCGCUCUUCCGUCGUGCGUCGACCUUGCGCUACUUGCAAUUACUCCUUUUUCUUGCUUGCUAACUGAUGGUUCCCUGAACCCUUGAUUCUUCGCGGAUUGGGCAUCGAAUCGUGGUUGUGCAGCGAAUCCUGCAUGGAAUAGUAGUGCGGUUUUUGCUUUGAGCAGCAAUCAAUAGCUUCAAAAGGGGAGGGAAUUUCCAAAGACUCAAACGUGGUUAAGAGGGAAUGACCUCUCUCCCAAGGAAAGUAGAAGAUUAGUAAACUCAGCUUCUGAUUCAGCCAAUGCCUGAUGCAGCCGAACUCUCAAGAUAUUAGCACUGUCAACUUUUCUCCUAUAGAUAUCUAUGCAUUCCUGUUCCAGUUCUAGUAGAAUUCUCUCUCUUUCUAGUUGAUCUUGUCCCACUUCAUCCCAAAUCAGCUGUAGUUUUAUGGGAAGCCCAGAGACACUUUAGUAGGAAUCAGAUGCAAGAAUGAUGAAUCUAACAGAAAGCACAUACCUUCAGCUCUUGGAGUAAAUAUCCACAAGAUGAUUCAGGAAUUGCUGAACUUGAAAAACUAGGAAGAGUUCCAAAAGAUCCCAUCUUGCAAAUGUUCAGCGUAUCAGAGAAAGAUCUUGUGAAGACGAGUACCUCAAGUGUGAAGGACAGAGCAGCCUUCUCUAAUCAAGCGUUAUGAAUAUCUGAGGCAGAAAUGAGAACUCUGGAUGGAAGAAAAAGAGAACAGUGGCAAGGAUGUGGAUGGAUGGUGAAAUUGGAUUUGCUUAUUGGUUUUGCUUUGAAGACAAGCAGCAUAACUGGUAGUUGCUUUGAUGAGCUUGGGGAAAGCUUGAAGCUUAAAGAAGAAGACGGGUCCAACCUAUUUUCAAUUGAGUAUAUGUAAGUUAUUCACGCUCUUUAUUCUCUCUGACAGAAGGUAUUUUCUCACUGAUGAUUUCCACAUUCCACCUUUUGCAAAUGCUGCAAUUGGAAGCUUCACCCUGAAGCCGUGGUUGUUGGCAAAUCUCUUACAUUUGUUUUUUUCUAACUCAAGGGAAAGGGUGGGGCAUCCUAUUGUUCGAUUACAUGGAAUAGCCCUAUCAAGUUCAUGCACUCUUUUACUUCAAGGAGAGCCAUUAUUCAAUCAUUGUGAUCUUUGGAAAGUAAUUGAAAUUCGAAAAGUUUGUUGCAUGCAAGCAAGAAAUUGCAGUCUGAUCACAAUCCAGUUGAUGUGAUGGGUGUGGUCUUGCUUUCAUGUGGGGUAAUAGAUGCUUGAAAAUGAAAAGUAUAUAGAAAACACAUAGAUUGCACGGUCAUUCAAUGGAUGUAUAGUCGGUGUAAAUUGGAUACUGGUGUCAAUUAAAAAAAAUAAAAAGAGAGAGAGAGAAGAGGUUGACCUCUCUGUUUCCCUUAUGGUUCAAUUCUCUUCUCUCUCUAAAGCUCCUUUUUUCUCUGUUCACAAAGAUGAAAUGUAGGAUUAGUACAAAUAGUUGUUAGUUCCUUGCAGUAGAAAGGAUUUUAUGACUAUUAAAUAUAAUAGAAAAAGAUCUUUUUAUAUAUAUUUUAUUUGCUUCGAUUGUUACCAUGGAUCUUAUAUAAUUGUUCUGAUGAUAAUGGGUAUUUCUUUAACACGGCAUAGGAUCGAAAGGUUCUUGAAUGAUUCACAAAAUUAUGAAAGCAAGGAUCUUUAGAAAAAAAAUUCUUAUUUGAAGAGUGCAUAAUUGCGUGGAUAAGCUCCGACUAACUCAUCAAUUUGAAUUCAAUUUAGUUUUUUUACUUGGGAGGUAUUGAGUAGGAAUUAUAAUGAAAUAAUUAUUAGUAUAAUCAUAUCUCAAAUUGUUGAUUAUAUGGUUGACAAAAUAUUUAAAUUAGGUUAAUUUUGUGUUAUGAUGUGCCUUGAGUGUGCAAUGCUUGAGAGAUUGAACAUGGAGAUGAAAAGUUCAUAAAAGUGAGAUUCUUGGUCGAGUCCAAUCAAGGACUUGGCAAGUUGCAAAGCUCAUGACUCAACGAGGAUAAGUUGGAAGAUUAGAAGUCCAAGAAGUUAAGAUCGAUCAAAAAGUUUGACAGAUUGCUCAGAAGGUCGAGGACAACUAAGAACUUGGUGGGUUGCUCAUAACUCGACAAGGUUGAGUUGGAAGACAAAGAGGUUAAGGUUGAUUAGGAACUUCUUAAGUUGCUUGUGGUUAAGAAAGUUUGUAACUCAAUGAGAUCGAGUGGUGCUUGCAUGAUCAAGUAAGUUGUUAGUUCAACGGCUUUGAGGCUUAGAAUGAGGUAAACGCUCAAAGAAGGCAAAGAAUGAUAUGAAACAAGCAUAGAGUUGUAGGAUCAACACGCGAUGGGUUUCGGAUUGUAAUCAAUGUUUUAGUUUGAUCUUGAGUUAAGUCGAGGUUGACGAUCAUUCUCAAUU
Zingiber officinale is the source of this 2470-nucleotide long non-coding RNA. RefSeq lists it as uncharacterized. The record is from RefSeq and is a predicted model, not a curated record. Lineage: Eukaryota; Viridiplantae; Streptophyta; Magnoliopsida; Zingiberales; Zingiberaceae. The transcript is spliced from 3 exons.